GCCAGUGUGACAUAGUGGUUUGAGUGUUGGACUAUGACUCUGGAGAUCAGGGUUUGAUUCCCAGCUCAGCCA
Molecule: transfer RNA, 72 nt
Filed under: Phrynosoma platyrhinos (Desert horned lizard)
Lineage: Eukaryota; Metazoa; Chordata; Lepidosauria; Squamata; Phrynosomatidae
Description: tRNA-OTHER
Source: RNAcentral